AUGUUCGUUGUAGUUCUCGUGAUGGUGGUGUUCAGGUUAAUAAAUGGAGAUUUAAUAUACUUACAUGGUAAUAUUGGCUUUGAUUUUGUUACUCUGCUCGUUCCAAUUUAUGUGAUGUAGUUUGAUUUGACACAAAGUUUAAGAAAGAACGACUUUGGAAACUUGUAGUACAAAAUAAGUCAUAGGAUAUUUGUGUGGCCAUAAAUCAUCUCAUUAAGUUAAAAUGAGCAUUUUAAAGUUAAAUUGUUACUAAAUAUAGAAAUAUGUCAUUUUUCUGGAACUAACUAAAGUGUUUCAUAUAAAGUGGAAUACAGGGAGUAAUAAAAAAGGGCAGUCCAGUGCAUUAAAGCUUUCUCUAUGCACUUGGUCCGGGGAAGGGCCGGACCAAACAACAUUACCUGCAUUUCUGCACAAGUCUGUUUGAUAAUAAUCAACAAUAAAAUAGUUUGAUUUGUUGGUAAUCUGCAAAAUUAGUUUGAUUGUUUGUUUAAACAGGCGCAUAAGCCCUACUUUUUCUUGUUCUGAGCUAGUCUUUUUGUAUAACAAAUCCACUGUAUCCAAAUUACCUAGGAAUCAUGGUAAAUGGAUUACUUUAUCUGUAAUUAUAAUAUCUCGAAAGAUAUGCUUGUUAACCUGUUCUAUGAUUAUGCAAUGCACAUAAGUAGCUUGUUCUGUUUGUUACUUAUUAAAUUACAUUAUUAGAGAAGGACGUGUUUUUUGCUAAAAUUUCUUCUGGCCCUGGGUGAAGAAGUUAGGUGGAUUGCAUUUGAGCAGUUAGUGGUUUGGUUGUUGAUUGAUCCCAUACUUGAAAAUUUGCAUGCAUUAUAAUAUUGGGUUUUCUAAGUAUAAUCCUGGAUUCGAACUAUUUCUCCUAAUAAAGGCACUGAUAAAUGAGUUAUUUUAAAGUUUAUAAGUAUUUGCAUGUAGAUUUCACUUUACUUGAGAUUAAAUAUAUGGAUGGGCAGGAAAGACUUAUUUAGUAGACAGCGAGUGAGAUGCAAGCACCUACUCUUAUCAAAAUAGAAAGUAGCUAGUGGAACUUGAAGAAACUAUGUAUCUGAACAGGUAGAGGUUUGUCCAGAUUCUUGUUAAGCCAAAAUCAAACAAAACUCAUUAAUGUGGAUAAUAGAUGCCAUUUGUGUAGAAGGCAGGUGCAGAAAUUGGUACUAGAGUACUAAGAAAAAGAUAAGAGUGGUAUGUCAGAGAGGGGCGGAUGUAGCUUAAUGUUACCGACUUUAUCUUACCCAAUACUUUCAACGCUAAACACAAAUUGCUACAAAUAAUAGAUAUGAACCUAUAACUUUAAAAGUAUAAUGGUUCGAUGCUAAGAUUUUAAAAGUUGAACCCGUACUUAAAUCGUGGAUCCAGCUUAUGAUGUCAGAGGGGAAGGGGUUUUCAUAAAUUUGAUGAUUGGCAGGAUUCUCAAAUACUAUUUUAGCUAGCUACCAUUGAUUGUUCGCUAGAGGUGUGCUUGAGGGUCCAGUUGCAUAGUCUCUUUGAACUUUGGUGGUCGAAAUGUGUAGUUGGUAAUGCUCAGGGAUGGGAUUCUCGAUGAAAUAUAUUUUCCUUAUUUUGCAGUUAAUGAAGGAUGCAAGUAACUUCUAUUGAUAAUGACCAAAGAUAGGUCCACAUCUUGAAAGUUUAGCUAUGCAUAUCCAUUCCAUAUCCAUCCUCAGAAAAGUUUCUGCAAGUUUAUAAAGGAGUUUGAGCUUCACCUUGCUAGAUCUCAACGUCAUUGAAAGAUCCCUCUCUAUGCUUCCGGUCCAAAUUGUUGAAAUACAGAUGGAAGUGAUUUCACUUGGCAAAAAGUUGUGAUACUGUGAAUAGACUAGUUCAACAUAAGAGUAUUUUUCCUAGGAAUCUACCUUUUGCCUGUAAACAAUAUUUACAAAAGUUUGCAUCUAAAGAUAACUCCAAGAAAAGGGAAUGGAAGGUAGUCAGUGCUGUUGCAUCAUUGUAUAUGGAACUUCAGCAUGAGAACACCUUAUAUUUCCUAUUCCCAAGUGUUCUAGUUUUCCCCAGAAAAAGGGCAAUAUCUUAAGAAUUUUGAUGUGCAUAAAGAAAUCUUGUCUCAUACAAGUAAAAACGCUCAAAGCAUGAGUUGAAGAAAAUUCAUUGAGAGUGUGCAAUGGGAUAUCAACCGUUACCUUCUCCAAAAAAAAAGAGUGCAGUGGGACAUAGUAUAUCCUCAAUUGCUCACAUACAAUUAACUAAUAAACUUGUCAUUCACAAUUUUCUUUUUAGGCUAGUUUAUGAAAUUCCUCUGAGUACCUUGUAAGGCCAGUUAAUGGAAUUCAUUUGUGGAGACUUUCGACUAUACAUCAAGUUGGCUUUAAGUUAUCAAGUUCUUAGUCUAUUACCUAAUCACAAAUUUUUAAUUUAGUUUUCAGAUGUUUGCUUGUUAUUAUCUGGAAAGAGGCUGCUUCAACCUUAAUGUUUGAAUUAUCUCAGGGGCGUAUAUGAAGAAUUAGCAUUUACUAUUUGGCUAUUUUCUAAUGUAAGUUUUGUUUGGUGGUUGAUUUUGGUAUUUAAGGACAUGCCAUAUAUUUCCCUGCAACAAUUUGCCACCAGGUAUUACUAGCGAAUUAGGAUAUGGUUUGCCAGUCUAGACUUGAGUCUAGCGAAUUAGGAUAUGGUUUGCCAGCCUAGACUUGAGGGCUUUUGAGCUGGGGUACUUAGUAGCUAGAAGUUCCACCGUCUAUUUGGCUUAUAGUGAUCUGUUCUUCCAUCUGAAAGAAAGCAACCGGUCCUGAUAUAGGGCUAGGAAUUUAAAAUUUUUGUCUCUACAGCGUGUGAUGAAUCUCUCAUUUGUUUUUGUGAGGAUUCUUGAGAAUAAUGAAAAAGAGGAGCAUCUGACAAGUGAGAAG
Molecule: long non-coding RNA, 2867 nt
Filed under: Capsicum annuum
Lineage: Eukaryota; Viridiplantae; Streptophyta; Magnoliopsida; Solanales; Solanaceae
Description: long non-coding RNA (CANN_LNC000376)
Source: RNAcentral